CGGGUGCACUGAUCCAGCCGGGCCUUUCCCUCUGUGGAACCUCAUGGCCUUCACUGGCUGUGCUGGGGAAACAGGACUUUUACUGUGAAAAAAUUAGAGUGCUUAAGGCAGGCCUAUGCUCGAAUACAUUAGCAUGGAAUAAUAGAAUAGGACGUGUGGUUCUAUUUUGUUGGUUUCUAGGACCGCCGUAAUGAUUAAUAGGGACAGUCGGGGGCAUCAGUAUUCAAUUGUCAGAGGUGAAAUUCUUGGAUCUAUUGAAGACUAACUACUGCGAAAGCAUUUGCCAAGGAUGUUUUCAUUGAUAAGGAACGAAAGUUAGGGGAUCGAAGACGAUCAGAUACCGUCGUAGUCUUAACUAUAAACUAUGCCGACUAGGGAUCGGACGAUGUUAUUUCUUGACGCGUUCGGCACCUUUCGAGAAAUCAAAGUGCUUGGGCUCCAGGGGGAGUAUGGUCGCAAGGCUGAAACUUAAAGAAAUUGACGGAAGGGCACCACCAGGGGUGGAACCUGCGGCUUAAUUUGACUCAACACGGGGAAACUCACCAGGUCCAGACACAGUGAGGAUUGACAGAUUGAGAGCUCUUUCUUGAUUCUGUGGGUGGUGGUGCAUGGCCGUUCUUAGUUGGUGGAGUGAUUUGUCUGCUUAAUUGCGAUAACGAACGAGACCUUAACCUGCUAAAUAGCCCGUACUGCUUUGGCAGUUCGCCGGCUUCUUAGAGGGACUAUCGG
Molecule: ribosomal RNA, 729 nt
Filed under: uncultured eukaryote
Lineage: Eukaryota
Description: SSU rRNA
Rfam family: Eukaryotic small subunit ribosomal RNA
Source: RNAcentral